This 490-nucleotide ribosomal RNA is filed under the name uncultured bacterium. RNAcentral describes it as "partial 16S ribosomal RNA". It matches the Rfam family "Bacterial small subunit ribosomal RNA", at positions 30 to 507 of the family's 1533-position model. The record is from RNAcentral.
AUUGAACGCUGGCGGCAGGCCUAACACAUGCAAGUCGAACGGUAACAGGAAGAAGCUUGCUUCUUUGCUGACGAGUGGCGGACGGGUGAGUAAUGUCUGGGAAACUGCCUGAUGGAGGGGGAUAACUACUGGAAACGGUAGCUAAUACCGCAUAACGUCGCAAGACCAAAGAGGGGGACCUUCGGGCCUCUUGCCAUCGGAUGUGCCCAGAUGGGAUUAGCUAGUAGGUGGGGUAACGGCUCACCUAGGCGACGAUCCCUAGCUGGUCUGAGAGGAUGACCAGCCACGCUGGAACUGGGACAGGCUCCAGACUCCUACGGGAGGAAGCAGUGGGGAAUAUUGCACAAUGGGCGAAAGCCGGAUGCAGCCAUGCCGCUGGUAUGAAGAAGGCCUUCGGGUUGUAAAGUACUUUCGGAGGGGAGAAAGGGAGUAAAGUUAAUACGUUUGCUCAUUGACGUUACCUGCAGAGGAAGCACCGGCUAACUCCGUG